Non-coding RNA from Salmo salar (Atlantic salmon), 76 nucleotides. The record is from Rfam. Lineage: Eukaryota; Metazoa; Chordata; Actinopteri; Salmoniformes; Salmonidae.
GCUCAGUUGGUAGAGCAUGGUGUUUGCAAUGCCAGCAUGGUGUGUGCAACGCCAGGGUUGUGGGUUCGAUUCCCAC